AGGCCAUUGCUAUGGGGAUCCGAUUUAGCCAUGCUAGUCGCACGAGUUUAGACUCGUGGCAGAUAGCUCAGUAACACGUGGCCAAACUACCCUCUGGACAGGCAUACCCUCGGGAAACUGAGGCUAAUACCUGAUACUACUCCUGCCCUGGAAUGGGCGGAGAGCCAAACGCUCCGGCGCCAGCAGGCUGUGGCUGCGGCCGAUUAGGUAACGGUGGGGUAACGGCCCACCGUGCCAGUAAUCGGUACGGGUUGUGAGAGCAAGAGCCCGGAGACGGUAUCUGAGACAAGAUACCGGGCCCUACGGGGCGCAGCAGGCGCGAAACCUUUACACUGCACGCCAGUGCGAUAAGGGGAUCCCCAGUGCGAGGGCAUACAGUCCUCGCUUUUCACCACCGUACGAUGGUGGUGGAACAAGAGCUGGGCAAGACCGGUGCCAGCCGCCGCGGUAAUACCGGCAGCUCGAGCUGAUGGCCGUUCUUAUUGGGCCUAAGCGUCCGUAGCCGGCCACGCAAGUUCGUCGGGAAAUCCACAUGCUCAACAUGUGGGCGUCCGGCGAAACCUGCGUGGCUUGGGACCGGACGGCCCGAGGGGUACGGCCGGGGUAGGAGUGAAAUCCUGUAAUCCCGGCCGGACCACCGGUGGCGAAAGCGCCUCGGGAGGACGGAUCCGACGGUGAGGGACGAAAGCCAGGGUCACGAACCGGAUUAGAUACCCGGGUAGUCCUGGCCGUAAACGAUGCACCGUUAGGUGUGGCGUAGGCUACGAGCCACGCUGUGCCGCAGUGAAGACGCUAAACGGGCCGCCUGGGAAGUACGUCCGCAAGGAUGAAACUUAAAGGAAUUGGCGGGGGAGCACUACAACCGGAGGAGCCUGCGGUUUAAUUGGACUCAACGCCGGACAUCUCACCAGCAUCGACAGUGUGCAGUGACAGUCAGUGUGAUGAGCUUACUAGAGCCACUGAGAGGAGGUGCAUGGCCGCCGUCAGCUCGUACCGUGAGGCGUCCUGUUAAGUCAGGCAACGAGCGAGACCCGCACUCUUAA
RNAcentral lists this ribosomal RNA (1043 nucleotides) under Natronoarchaeum mannanilyticum. RNAcentral's name for it is "bacterial SSU rRNA". It matches the Rfam family "Archaeal small subunit ribosomal RNA", at positions 21 to 1063 of the family's 1478-position model. Lineage: Archaea; Methanobacteriati; Methanobacteriota; Halobacteria; Halobacteriales; Natronoarchaeaceae. The record is from RNAcentral.